UUCAAGGACAUUGCAUUUCUUUAUUUCUGUUAUUCCAUCAGCUCCACCUCAGAUCAUCAGGCAUUAGAUCCUGGAGGUUGGGAACCCGGCCACAGACUGAGAGGGGUCACCCAGGGUUUUCUCUUCUUUAGGCUACGCUGCCUCUCCAGGCGGGAGGACUUGGGGAUCUGCAGAGAAGGGAGCCUUUGCAGGUGUAGUGCUGAAGACCCGUUUACCAGGAGAAAAAUUCCUGUAAAUUCGUGGAGAAAACCCAUGGGAAUCUGCAGACAAAAGCUUUUGGAAAAUCCAGAAACAUCCUGAGGUAAGUAAAAGAACCUUUAGAAUUUAUAGUGUUCAUCAAGUUUGCUGAAUACAAAAUUAAGACCAGAAAUUCAAUGUAAAAAAAAAAAAAAGCAACUCAGUAGAGUAUGUGUAUAACAGCACAACCUUGUAAGAAUGCAAUAUGAAAAAUGGUAAAGUGUAACUCAAAAAUGCAAUAAGUUAAAAAAGCAUGGGGAACAGUGUGG
This 506-nucleotide long non-coding RNA is filed under the name Bos indicus x Bos taurus (hybrid cattle). RNAcentral describes it as "lncRNA (ENSBIXG00000022320.1)". The record is from RNAcentral. Lineage: Eukaryota; Metazoa; Chordata; Mammalia; Artiodactyla; Bovidae.